Molecule: ribosomal RNA, 253 nt
Filed under: uncultured bacterium
Lineage: Bacteria
Description: partial 16S ribosomal RNA
Rfam family: Bacterial small subunit ribosomal RNA
Source: RNAcentral
UACAGAGGGUGCUAGCGUUGUUCGGAAUCAUUGGGCGUAAAGGGCGCGUAGGCGGUCUGGUAAGUCAAGUGUGAAAGCCCAGGGCUCAACCUUGGAAGUGCACCUGAAACUACCAGACUUGAAUCUCGGAGAGGGUGGUGGAAUUCCCAGUGUAGAGGUGAAAUUCGUAGAUAUUGGGAGGAACACCGGUGGCGAAGGCGACCGCCUGGACGAAGAUUGACGCUGAGGCGCGAAAGCGUGGGGAGCAAACAGG